GCUGCGGCAGCGAUAUGUAAAUAUUGUUGGGUAGGGGAGCGUUCUGUAAGCCUGUGAAGGUGUACUGUGAGGUAUGCUGGAGGUAUCAGAAGUGCGAAUGCUGACAUAAGUAACGAUAAUGCGGGUGAAAAACCCGCACGCCGGAAGACCAAGGGUUCCUGUCCAACGUUAAUCGGGGCAGGGUGAGUCGACCCCUAAGGCGAGGCAGAAAUGCGUAGUCGAUGGGAAACGGGUUAAUAUUCCCGUACUGGUGAUAAUUGCGAUGGGGGGACGGAGAAGGUUAGGCUGGCCGGGCGACGGUUGUCCCGGUUUAAGGAUGUAGGCAGGUGAAUUAGGCAAAUCCGGUUCACUAUAUGCUGAGGUCUGAUGACGAGUCACUACGGUGGCGAAGUAGCUCAUACCCCGCUUCCAGGAAAAGCCUCUAAG
RNAcentral lists this ribosomal RNA (426 nucleotides) under Salmonella enterica subsp. enterica serovar Enteritidis. RNAcentral's name for it is "partial 23S ribosomal RNA". It matches the Rfam family "Bacterial large subunit ribosomal RNA", at positions 1199 to 1625 of the family's 2925-position model. The record is from RNAcentral. Lineage: Bacteria; Pseudomonadati; Pseudomonadota; Gammaproteobacteria; Enterobacterales; Enterobacteriaceae.